ACCACUACUAUCAUAGUCCAUACUCCUCAUUGUGUGGUCUCCCACUUGACAGUUAGUAAGCACUCACCAACUGCAAAACCAACAGUUCCUACAUAAUAUUAGCAAAAGUAAAGACAAAAAGAAUGCCUUAAGUGCAUUCAUAGAGGAACCAUUGACAGUCAUGAAGAAACACACAGCUAAUGUAAUCGAAAUGCAAAAUAACAGCAUCAAUAUCUAGCCUUGACCCCCAAAAUGUCUCACGACAAACUUGAGCAAUCUCAUCACUAGUCAAAUAGCGGGAAACAAAACCAAACUGGAGAAUCCUUCUCCCAGAAGUUCAAAGCUUCAUUUCUAUUCCAACAGCAUUCUUCAAUUCCUUCACCAGUAACAAUGGGAUAGCUGCAGCUACCAAACUUAAGUGUUUCCACUAUCAAAACCCUAGAAGAAGCUUGGCUGUCGAGAAAUCAGCAAAAUCUCCAAGUAGAAGCAAGUAACCAUACUUGAAAAGAGAGAUUACCCACCAAAAUUUCUACCUCCAGCCUACUCAAGAUAGCUCAAGAAUGACGAAUUGUGGCUGUAACAAUCCCAGGUAGAAAAUGUAGGAACAUCCAGCUCCUCGAGAAAUCCAGCAAAGAUCAGAACCCAAAGAAAAGAUCCCUCAGACAACUUAACACUUUUCGCAAAU
RNAcentral lists this long non-coding RNA (664 nucleotides) under Linum usitatissimum (flax). RNAcentral's name for it is "long non-coding RNA (LUSI_LNC001975)". Lineage: Eukaryota; Viridiplantae; Streptophyta; Magnoliopsida; Malpighiales; Linaceae. The record is from RNAcentral.